Molecule: ribosomal RNA, 402 nt
Filed under: Isosturmia japonica
Lineage: Eukaryota; Metazoa; Arthropoda; Insecta; Diptera; Tachinidae
Description: partial 16S rRNA
Source: RNAcentral
GGCCGCAGUAUAUUAACUGUGCAAAGGUAGCAUAAUCAUUAGUCUUUUAAUUGAAGGCUGGUAUGAACGGUUGAACAAAAUAUUAACUGUUUCAUAUAAAUUUUAUAUAAAAAUUUUAUUUUUUAGUUAAAAAGCUAAAAUUUAUUUAAAAGACGAGAAGACCCUAUAAAUCUUUAUAUUUAAAUUAUAAUAAUUUUAUAAAAAUUUUUAAUUAUUUUAGUUAAUAAUAUUUUAUUGGGGUGAUAUUAAAAUUUAAUAAACUUUUAAUUUUUUUUUUCAUUAAUUUAUGAAUAAUUGAUCCAUUUUUAAUGAUUAAAAGAUUAAGUUACUUUAGGGAUAACAGCGUAAUUUUUUUGGAGAGUUCAUAUUAAUAAAAAAAGAUUGCGACCUCGAUGUUGGAUU